GACGAACGCUGGCGGCGUGCUUAACACAUGCAAGUCGAACGGAAAGGCCCUGCUUUUGUGGGGUGCUCGAGUGGCGAACGGGUGAGUAACACGUGAGUAACCUGCCCUUGACUUUGGGAUAACUUCAGGAAACUGGGGCUAAUACCGGAUAGGAGCUCCUGCUGCAUGGUGGGGGUUGGAAAGUUUCGGCGGUUGGGGAUGGACUCGCGGCUUAUCAGCUUGUUGGUGGGGUAGUGGCUUACCAAGGCUUUGACGGGUAGCCGGCCUGAGAGGGUGACCGGCCACAGUGGGACUGAGAUACGGCCCAGACUCCUACGGGAGGCAGCAGUGGGGAAUAUUGCACAAUGGGCGGAAGCCUGAUGCAGCAACGCCGCGUGCGGGAUGACGGCCUUCGGGUUGUAAACCGAUUUCGACUGUGACGAAGCGUGAGUGACGGUAAUGGGUAAAGAAGCACCGGCUAACUACGUG
Molecule: ribosomal RNA, 468 nt
Filed under: uncultured bacterium
Lineage: Bacteria
Description: partial 16S ribosomal RNA
Rfam family: Bacterial small subunit ribosomal RNA
Source: RNAcentral